UACGGAGGGGGCGAGCGUUGUUCGGAAUUAUUGGGCGUAAAGAGCGCGUAGGCGGCUUGUCGAGUCAGAAGUGAAAGCCUCGGGCUUAACCCGGGAACUGCUUUUGAAACUGGCAGGCUUGAGUCCGGCAGAGGGUGGUGGAAUUCCCCGUGUAGAGGUGAAAUUCGUAGAUAUGGGGAGGAAGACCAGAGGCGAAGGCGGCCACCUGGACCGGUACUGACGCUGAGGCGCGAGAGCGUGGGGAGCGAACAGG
RNAcentral lists this ribosomal RNA (253 nucleotides) under uncultured bacterium. Its description in RNAcentral is "partial 16S ribosomal RNA". It matches the Rfam family "Bacterial small subunit ribosomal RNA", at positions 524 to 776 of the family's 1533-position model. The record is from RNAcentral.